This 200-nucleotide ribosomal RNA is filed under the name uncultured bacterium. Its description in RNAcentral is "partial 16S ribosomal RNA". It matches the Rfam family "Bacterial small subunit ribosomal RNA", at positions 28 to 222 of the family's 1533-position model. The record is from RNAcentral.
GAUGAACGCUGGCGGCGUGCUUAACACAUGCAAGUCGAACGAUGACUUUUGUGCUUGCACAGAAUGAUUAGUGGCGAACGGGUGAGUAACACGUGAGUAACCUGCCCCUGACUCUGGGAUAAGCCUGGGAAACUGGGUCUAAUACCGGAUAUGCACCGUUGACCGCAUGGUUUUUGGUGGAAAAGUAUUUUUUUGGUCAG